RNAcentral lists this ribosomal RNA (497 nucleotides) under uncultured bacterium. Its description in RNAcentral is "partial 16S ribosomal RNA". It matches the Rfam family "Bacterial small subunit ribosomal RNA", at positions 28 to 507 of the family's 1533-position model. The record is from RNAcentral.
GAUGAACGCUGGCGGCGUGCCUAAUACAUGCAAGUCGAGCGAACAGAUGAGGAGCUUGCUCCUCUGACGUUAGCGGCGGACGGGUGAGUAACACGUGGAUAACCUACCUAUAAGACUGGGAUAACUUCGGGAAACCGGAGCUAAUACCGGAUAAUAUAUUGAACCGCAUGGUUCAAUAGUGAAAGACGGUUUUGCUGUCACUUAUAGAUGGAUCCGCGCCGCAUUAGCUAGUUGGUAAGGUAACGGCUUACCCAGGCAACGAUGCGUAACCGACCUGAGAGGGUGAUCGGCCACCCUGGAACUGAGAAACGGUCCAGACUCCUACGGUAGGCAGCAGUAGGGAAUCUUCCGCAAGGGGCGAAAGCCUGACGGAGCAACGCCGCGUGAGUGAUGAAGGUCUUCGGAUCGUAAAACUCUGUUAUUAGGGAAGAACAAAUGUGUAAUUAACUAUGCACGUCUUGACGGUACCGAAUCAGAAAGCCACGGCUAACUACGUG